GCUAAUUGGUUCCUAGGCCCGGCUUUCUGUUUGGGGGCCAUUCUUAAUUUCUAGUUGAAUCCAGAUGUUGAACGGUCCUUGAAGUUCUAUUCCAGGGCUCCCAGGCAGCAGAAUCUGCCCACAGAGUUCGGUUGGUGUCUCACCUUUAACUCUCCUUAUGCUGGGUGAAAACAAAGAGUGAUAGAUUCGUGUGGCCUUUCAAAUGAUUGUGAAGUGGUGGAAAUGGAUCCAAAAUAAUAAGUGACUUCUCUACCAAAGCAUAGAAGAUUCUUCAUAUCUCCUUCCAGUGGCUCAAUUUAGAUUUUGGGAAGGAGCAGAACAAGUGAAACACAGAAAACUGAAGAGAAGAAAUCCUCAUUUUGGACCUAUAUUUCUCCUUGACUAUUUCUUAAUAUCCAUCCUACCCAUCGUUCUAAUGUUUUAACUUUGCUCUGAAUUUAUAAAUAGUAAAGGCCAAAGACAUAGAAUAUACAUUUAGUAGCUUUAUACCAAGAAAUUUGCCUUGAAAGCUGCUGUUCGUGGAGGGAAAAGUGUAGCAAAUUCCUGUCUAUUUUUAUUUUUUAUUUUUUUUUAACAAAGACAAGAUUUAUGUCCCUAGAUUUUGAAGGUUAAGGCAAAUAUAAAUACAUAUCUGCACACUAUUUUUUAGCAGUUGCAUGAGUAAGAGUAAUGAGAUUUGUAUUUUAAGGACUUUGUCAUGUGGAUGUUUUGGAGUUGACUGCUCA
Molecule: long non-coding RNA, 725 nt
Filed under: Homo sapiens (human)
Lineage: Eukaryota; Metazoa; Chordata; Mammalia; Primates; Hominidae
Description: non-protein coding lnc-GPBP1L1-1:6
Source: RNAcentral